GGCUCAACCCCCCCGAAGCCCCCGGAACUUCCGCGGCUUGGUCCGGUAGGGGAGGGUGGAACACCCGGUGUAGCGGUGGAAUGCGCAGAUAUCGGGUGGAACACCGGUGGCGAAGGCGGCCCUCUGGGCCGAGACCGACGCUGAGGCGCGAAAGCUGGGGGAGCGAACAGGAUUAGAUACCCUGGUAGUCCCAGCCGUAAACGAUGGACGCUAGGUGUGGGGGGACGAUCCCCCCGUGCCGCAGCCAACGCAUUAAGCGUCCCGCCUGGGGAGUACGGCCGCAAGGCUAAAACUCAAAGGAAUUGACGGGGGCCCGCACAAGCAGCGGAGCAUGUGGCUUAAUUCGAAGCAACGCGAAGAACCUUACCAGGGCUUGACAUAUGGGUGAAGCGGGGGAGACCCCGUGGCCGAGAGGAGCCCAUACAGGUGGUGCAUGGCUGUCGCCAGCUCGUGUCGUGAGAUGUUGGGUUAAGUCCCGCAACGAGCGCAACCCCCGCCGCGUGUUGCCAUCGGGUGAUGCCGGGAACCCACGCGGGACCGCCGCCGUCAAGGCGGAGGAGGGCGGGGACGACGUCAAGUCAUCAUGCCCCUUAUGCCCUGGGCUGCACACGUGCUACAAUGGCCGGUACAGAGGGAUGCCACCCCGCGAGGGGGAGCGGAUCCCGGAAAGCCGGCCCCAGUUCGGAUUGGGGGCUGCAACCCGCCCCCAUGAAGUCGGAGUUGCUAGUAAUCGCGGAUCAGCACGCCGCGGUGAAUGCGUUCCCGGGCCUUGUACACACCGCCCGUCACACCACCCGAGUCGUCUGCACCCGAAGUCGCCGGCCCAACCGAGAGGGGGGAGGCGCCGAAGGUGUGGAGGGUGAGGGGGG
RNAcentral lists this ribosomal RNA (869 nucleotides) under uncultured organism. RNAcentral describes it as "partial small subunit ribosomal RNA". It matches the Rfam family "Bacterial small subunit ribosomal RNA", at positions 606 to 1480 of the family's 1533-position model. The record is from RNAcentral.